Molecule: ribosomal RNA, 521 nt
Filed under: uncultured bacterium
Lineage: Bacteria
Description: bacterial SSU rRNA
Rfam family: Bacterial small subunit ribosomal RNA
Source: RNAcentral
UAUUGGGCAUAAAGGGCAUCUAGGCGGCCUGACAAGUCAGGGGUGAAAACCUGCGGCUCAACCGCAGGCCUGCCUUUGAAACUGCUAGGCUGGAGUACCGGAGAGGUGGACGGAACUGCACGAGUAGAGGUGAAAUUCGUAGAUAUGUGCAGGAAUGCCGAUGAUGAAGAUAGUUCACUGGACGGUAACUGACGCUGAAGUGCGAAAGCCGGGGGAGCGAACAGGAUUAGAUACCCUGGUAGUCCCGGCCAUAAACGAUGAUUACUGGGUGUGGGCAGGAAGACUGUCUGUGCCGAAGCGAAUGCGAUAAGUAAUCCGCCUGGGGAGUACGGCCGCAAGGCUGAAACUCAAAGGAAUUGACGGGGACCCGCACAAGCGGUGGAGCAUGUGGUUUAAUUCGACGCAACGCGAGGAACCUUACCAGAUCUUGACAUCCCGCGAACGCCCAUGAGGAUGGGCGGUGCCUUCGGGAACGCGGAGACAGGUGGUGCAUGGCUGUCGUCAGCUCGUGUCGUGAGAAG